GGCGGACGGCACCGAUCUUGAAACGAGCUUUAAAGUUGGGUUCGUCCCAGCAUGGGAAAGCUGAACGAGCUGACGUCGGUUGGAAAUGAGUCGUCACCAAGUACCUGUCGGUGACACAACAAUGAGAAAUGAAUAUCAGGAAAAAACCCGGAAGCAGUCGAGACUUACCGUUUCAUUCCGCUGGGCGCUUUGUAGCUGGAGAGGUAGAGGCCUUCGAGAUCGGUGCGGACCAUGCCCUCGUAUCGGAGUGCCAGCGAGUAAUUGUUGCCCGGCAGGAGAUAAUUCUUGAGCUCGAUGUAGAUCUGCUGAUGGUAAGGGUAGUAGAGGGUCCUGGUGGUGAGUAUUUCUCUCAUGUUCUUAUCCUUGACCAUGACGACGGUGAGAGUGACGUCCUUGCCGUGAAAGACGAUGAAAUUGGUCUCCUUUUGGACGGCGAAAACGACUUCCAUCUGGCCGCGUAGGAAGAGCGUCGUCAGGUUGGGGUGGAGGACGACGCUGUAGCGGAGCGGGACGAUCGAGUCGGGCAGUCGGACGUCAUUCCACGGGAACGGCUCGCCGUUGGUGGCGAUGGCCUCCGGUGGAGCAGUGACGGCGACUUCCUCGUGGAAAUCCAGUCCGCCUUCGUCGACGUGCCCGCAAUGGCUGGGCCUGACGAAGGCAAUGAUGAGCGAACAGGUCAACAGCGUCACCAGGAUGAGUCCAAUAAUGACGACGGCCUGCCUCCUGGAACACGUCGCCACCGGGAACUGAAAGUCUGAGACGAGUAGCCCCGAGGGAGGGAUUUAUCCAAAUGAUAUUGCACACAGCCGGAGACCCGGGGAAAUAAGUUUGCCAUACACACACAGACACACUGGGCAGACAUCUGGCAAUCCAGAAUUUUUCCAGUUUUAUUUUCUAAACUAUCUAAGCUCCAUAAAAAGGGAUUUUUCUUUUCACUGGAAGGAUUUUUCAAGAGCUCCCAAGUCAAUGUUGACCCAUUUGCCAACCCUGUCCGGAAUUCAUCAGGAAGACAGAAGGGGGGAACGCCAACGGAAGCCGGAUGUCAUUUUCAUUCCCUUUUUUGAC
Molecule: long non-coding RNA, 1065 nt
Organism: Daphnia pulex (common water flea)
Lineage: Eukaryota; Metazoa; Arthropoda; Branchiopoda; Diplostraca; Daphniidae
Exons: 4
Source: RefSeq, a predicted model, not a curated record